This 225-nucleotide long non-coding RNA is filed under the name Ananas comosus (pineapple). RNAcentral's name for it is "long non-coding RNA (ACOM_LNC042836)". The record is from RNAcentral. Lineage: Eukaryota; Viridiplantae; Streptophyta; Magnoliopsida; Poales; Bromeliaceae.
AUUGAGAAUCAAAAUUACAUUUAAAACUCCUAAAACAGACUCUAUGACUUAGACGCAACUAGGAGUCUUGAAGUCUUGAUUUCCUGCAAAACAAUUCAUUCCAAAAAGAUUAACCUUAAAUUCUUAUACCUUCUCCCCCUUUAUUCAUAUCUCCACCUUUGUUUUUGAACUCAUCAUCCUCUGCUCUAGUUCAAUGCCUGUUCAUCCACGCUCUCCCCUUCAUCU